UUCCCGGUGCUGUUUCUCUGCCCCUUCCUAACCCCGCGCCUCGCCGUCGUCCUCGCCGACCCCUCACCUCUCCCCCAGGGCGCCACCCCGCCACCCCGCCGGCCUCCGGGGGUGCCGCCCGGUCCUCCAGCCGCCUCCACCCGUCCCGGCCGGCCUCUGUCCCUCCCUCUGUCGGGAGGUGGCUCGCUUUGCUGGUCUGUCCGCACUCUGACGCUGUAAACUGAUCCGCGCUCCGAAGCAAGGUUUUCCCAACUUCUUGGCGUUGGGGAGGAGGGAGGGAAUUUAUUCUCUGUAAAUCGAUUUUGUUACAAACAGUUUAAACUUAGGUUUCUGGGGAGCGCUGCUAAAACAUUCAGUAAGCAGCUUGGGCACCCGAUGUAAGGUUUUGAAAGAUUUGCUUUGGGCACGUUAGAUCCUCAACUGCCCAAAAAAACGCAGGUGCCACCUAGCAUGGUCCAGCGACUCCAGCUUGAGGAACCUCAUUUCUUGUCUUCAGUGCUCACAAGGGUAGCGCUGAUUGAUAGUUAUAUAUUUGCAUACCCGGUUACAUCAGAGUGAGGAAAUCACUGAUUUUUAAGUCAUUAUCAAACAUUCGUUUUAUAAAAUUAGUAAAAUCAGUAUGUCUAUGACACAACUGUUCCUCAAGUGGUGUUGCACACGUGCAUUGUGUAGCGAUUGUGCAGCACUUUGCCUGUGUUCGCAGAGAGUGGGUUCUAAUGUCCUGGGUGCUAAUUAGUAAGUAAAUUUGUGGGAAUUCUCCAGACCGCGUUUUUAAGCAGACCUUUUCUGUAUGGUUCUUCCUAUGGUUUUCUUCCUUUGAUAUGAGCAGGAUAUAAAGAAACUAAUUUUUAAAACCCUGCACAAUAUUAUUCAGGAAAAACAUACUGAUUCUGGCAUCUUGGGGUUUGGAGCUGGACUGUUUCAUUAACAGGUCACCUCUCGAAAGUUCUUUUGUUUCAUUGUGCUUCAGAACAAUGACUGUCAAAGGGAGCUACCUGUGUGCAAAUCAGGUAGUAAAUUUCCCAAGUUUCACAGCAGUUGUAUUUUCAAAUAUCUUACUUCCCUGAGUUCUAUGGGUUUUUCACUUUGGAUGAUAAUUUUUGGCAUCUGGAGCAUUAAACAUACAUUUAGUAUCUGUUACACAUAAAUCAUUCACGCGUAUGUUUGGCAGUUAUAAUCUGUGAGAUAGUCUUUCUUUCAUCUCAGAAAAAAAGAUAGUGAUGAGUAGCUCCUUUAAUAGAAUUAUCAGACAUGCAGAGCAGACCAUAAAAGUAAUAAGCUAUCGUUUCUCAGUAGUUUCAUUACAGAGUGAACUCAAUCCCGUUCUGUCCACUGUGGCACAAGUCCAGCAAAAUUUUCAUUGUUGCAAAUGCAGAUUAAAGUUCCCAGGUCCAGUGAUCGGAAUGCCUGUGAAUCAAGGGAAAAGAAGGCCAUCACUCUGAAAGACAACACAAGGCACGAUAAUAAAUCGGUGUCACUAACCUGGGUGCCCUUACAACCUGACAGGCUUUUUACAGAAGCCUCCUGCUUUGACUUCAUCAUAUUUUCCUUGGACAUUUUAGCAAAUUUGGUAAAUAUGGGGUGUUGAUAAACUAAUGUCUUAUUACAGGGGUUCCAUUAGCAAGUCUUGAGAUAUCUUGAGCAUGCAAGAUGGUGCUUCAACCCAUCUGAGUUUCUUUUUUUAUAAAGUCUUUAAUUUAUUACAGAUUUUACUCUCAUUAACUCCUUUGUGCCCAGAUUCCAAACUGUGUGGUGUAGGAGCAUAAGGAAUGGAGGAUGAUUGGACCAACUGAAAUAGUGAAGUAAAGAUCCUAACACUUUCCUCGGACCAUUCGGCUUAUCUCAGGCUGGGUAGCUGUUCUAUAGCAUAUGGUUCCUUAAUACGUACAAAUUCUUCUUAGGGCUCAAUGGUGGUUUUCUGUUACUGUGACAAAACACUUUAGAGAAUCAGUUUAUAAAGAGAAAAGGUUCAGGGGCUGGGGAUUGAGCUCAGCGGCAUAAGCACCUGCCUUGCAAGCAGGCAGUCGUGAGUUCGAUCCCCAGUACUGAUAAAAAUGAAAAAGACAAAAAAAAAAAAAAAAAGAGAGAGAGAAAAGGUUCAUAUCUGCUCCCAGUUUUAGAGGCUUCAGUCCAUGGUUAGAGGACUUGGUUUGGCUUAGAGGUUAGAGGUUUAGAGGCUCAUGGUUUAGACAGUUCAGCCCCAGUCCUCCCAGGCCGGGGAUGAGGUAGCACACUGUGGUGGGAGCUCGAAGUAGAGCAAACUGCUCAUCUCAUGGCAGCCAGGAAGCACAGGGAAAGAAGACCAGGACCCCACAGUCCCUUUCCAGGUCAAGCCCUUAGUGACCAGAACCCUCCCACUGCCCACCCACAUGUUCUGUCACUUCCCAGUAGCAGUGUGGGCUGGGGACCAAGAUUUUAACACUGGCCUUUGAGAGGCAGGGAUUCCAGAUCCAGACUGUUUUCAGACUUCUGUGCCUUUUGCAGCUGAGAACUUAAUUACUGUCUAGUCAAGUAGAAACCACUUUGUUUUUAAAAUCUGUCUUCUCCCUGUUUUCCCCCAAUUCCUGUCUAAUUCUCACUGGAUCUAUGGUGGGCCAUCUCACUCCUGUUUUCCGUUUAUUCUUGAACUGUUGAUUCUGUCGUGCUGCCCUGUCAGAGUGUAUUUAUGCAAGCAGUCUGUGCCUUUUUUGUGCCCUCGUCUCUGCUCUGCAGAGCAGGUUUUAUACAGGAAGCUCCAAAGCACCAGAUACGGAGAUGUGCCUGUGAGCUGCUUCACACUUCUUUUCUACGGAGUCCCAGGGAUUAUAUGGUCUCCAGAGUUAUGUGUCUGUAUGUAUGUCAUGAUUUAUGUCAGUGCCCCCCCCAUGGACUUGCAUUGUGCAUUGUGAUUGGUUCACUGUCUCGCGCUUUGAUUGGUGGUGUGAGUGCUAAACCCCGCCUAGGGGUGGAGCCAGGAUGUAUUGUAAUGGCAGGAAGAAGGUGUGUCUUGCUCUCUUGCCAGUUUCCGCCUUGUCAGUUUGCAACCACCAUGAACUGCGCCUGCCAUGCCACCCUGCCUUGGAGCCAACUGAGCAUGGACUGAAACCUCCAAGAAAUAAACCUUUCCUUUCCCAGCUUUGAGAAUCAGGGACUCACUGAUCUGAACCUAUCUACUCUGCAUCUCCACCCAGAAAUUCUUCAGUCAUCCUAAUGGACGGUAUCCCUGUUCAUUCCAAACCAUGUUCUCUGGCAGGUUAAUGUUGCUGUUUAUCCCAUGGCUAUCCUCUCACAUCCUGGGGUCCAAUCCUUAGCCACGCCCACCUCGCCCAUCCUAUCCUGUAGACCUGGCAUGUCCACUCAAAGCCCAUGUGUUAAAGACAGUGCUCAUCCCGAGGGCUUUAGGGAAGUUUCAGAAUCUUGAAGAGGUGUAGCCUUGUGGAAGUAGGACUUUGGGGGUGUGGCCUCAGAAAGCACAUUGAGACCUGACCCCUUCCGCUUUCUCUCUCUGCUCCCUCACAGUCAUGAUUUGUGCAGCUUGUCCCACCAUGAUGUGCUGCCUUGCACAGGCCCAGAGAUAACAAAGGCAAGCAGUGUGGACCGAAAUUCCCAAAAUUAUGACCCCAAGUAAACGUUCCCUUGAGCGUUCUGUCACAGUGUGGGAAAGCGAUCAGUCUGGUUAGUGCCCUCCAUCCAGCCGACCUUCACUCAGCCCCACAGGUCGAAGCCAAAUGGCCUCUGUCUCCAUGGUGCUUUAGGCGUUGACCUGGAACUUACUAACAUCUUGGGUCACUCAGCAUAAUUCACUCCAUCCUCUCCACCUCUCAGCAUAGAAAUCUGCCCUGCCGCUUCCAGGGCCCCAGUCUCUGUCCACCCAAGGACAUCGUGGAGACAGAAGUUUUACACGUAGACUUCAGUGUUCCACCCCCUUUCCUGCUUGCUUCUCCUUAUCUGGACCCACAUGAAUACCUCGAAUCUCUGACGUCAGUGCCUCCAGCUUCUGUCUAUCCGUGGGCUUCAGCUCUGUCCACUGUGUAAAGUUUGGGUCUGGAUCGGUGCUGCAGGGUGUUUCCUCCUCGUCUGAAGGGAGCCUUAAUGCCUCUAGUCAUCCUGUUUCUUAGGCUCAGCUUGUUCCCUUCGCCAUUCCUGUUCCUGCCCUUCUCUGGCCUCCUCCCAUUGUGUGCUGCCUACUGCUCAUCAGACAUGACCUCUUCCCUGCUGUGCUGAGACACUGGGACACCCCUGGGAACUGCCUCAGUUUCCUGCUCUCACCAGCCACACGGGGGUGACUUCAAUGAGUCUGCUCACCUUUCCCUUCAAGGCAGCCUUCUCUGGCCUUCCCUCCUCGGUCUCACUCUACAGCAUUGUCUACAGCUAAGACGAGUCAAAAGCUCAAUCCGGAAGUACAAGAUGCAGAAAUAGAAGGGAACAUGAUGGAAGGGAGGAAUGGUGGUGUGACCAUAGGAACUACAUCGGGUCCCUGGCUCCUUCCUCCCUGCUCUCUGCUUCCUGGCUGCCCUGAGAUGAACAGUCUUCCUCCACCACGCCUCCCUGCAGUUACAUUUCUGCCUCACCACAGUCAUAAACAGUGGAGCCCGUUUACCAUGGACUAAAACCUCUAAAACUGAGCAAAAAUAAACCUUUUCUUCUUUAAGAUGAUUUUCUCCAGUAUUU
Molecule: long non-coding RNA, 4650 nt
Organism: Cavia porcellus (domestic guinea pig)
Lineage: Eukaryota; Metazoa; Chordata; Mammalia; Rodentia; Caviidae
Exons: 4
Source: RefSeq, a predicted model, not a curated record